GAUGAACGCUGGCGGCGUGCUUAACACAUGCAAGUCGAACGAAGAACUUUAUUUGAUUUCCUUCGGGACUGAUUAUUUUUUGACUGAGUGGCGGACGGGUGAGUAACGCGUGGUUAACCUGCCUUGUACAGGGGGAUAACAGUUGGAAAGGGCUGCUAAUACCGCAUAAGCGCACAGCAUCGCAUGAUGCAGUGUGAAAAACUCCGGUGGUAUAAGAUGGACCCGCGUUGGAUUAGCUAGUUGGUGAGGUAACGGCCCACCAAGGCGACGAUCCAUAGCCGACCUGAGAGGGUGACCGGCCACAUUGGGACUGAGACACGGCCCAAACUCCUACGGGAGGCAGCAGUGGGGAAUAUUGCACAAUGGGCGAAAGCCUGAUGCAGCGACGCCGCGUGAGCGAAGAAGUAUUUCGGUAUGUAAAGCUCUAUCAGCAGGGAAGAUAAUGACGGUACCUGACUAAGAAGCACCGGCUAAAUACGUG
This 481-nucleotide ribosomal RNA is filed under the name uncultured bacterium. RNAcentral's name for it is "partial 16S ribosomal RNA". It matches the Rfam family "Bacterial small subunit ribosomal RNA", at positions 28 to 507 of the family's 1533-position model. The record is from RNAcentral.